GAGGAAUAUUGGUCAAUGGGCGAGAGCCUGAACCAGCCAAGUCGCAUGAAGGAUGACUGUCUUAUGGAUUGUAAACUUCUUUUAUACGGGAAUAACAAGAGUCACGUGUGACUCCCUGCAUGUACCGUAUGAAUAAGCAUCGGCUAACUCCGUGCCAGCAGCCGCGGUAAUACGGAGGAUGCGAGCGUUAUCCGGAUUUAUUGGGUUUAAAGGGUGCGUAGGCGGCCUGUUAAGUCAGCGGUGAAAUCUAGGAGCUUAACUCCUAAAUUGCCAUUGAUACUGGCGGGCUUGAGUGUAGAUGAGGUAGGCGGAAUGCGUGGUGUAGCGGUGGAAUGCAUAGAUAUCACGCAGAACUCCGAUUGCGAAGGCAGCUUACUAAGGUACAACUGACGCUGAAGCACGAAAGCGUGGGUAUCAAACAGGAUUAGAUACCCUGGUAGUCCACGCAGUAAACGAUGAUAACUGGGCGUAUGCGAUAUACAGUAUGCUCCUAAGCGAAAGCGUUAAGUUAUCCACCUGGGGAGUACGCCGGCAACGGUG
This 540-nucleotide ribosomal RNA is filed under the name uncultured bacterium. RNAcentral's name for it is "bacterial SSU rRNA". It matches the Rfam family "Bacterial small subunit ribosomal RNA", at positions 356 to 896 of the family's 1533-position model. The record is from RNAcentral.